Eucalyptus grandis is the source of this 438-nucleotide long non-coding RNA. RefSeq lists it as uncharacterized. The transcript is spliced from 3 exons. The record is from RefSeq and is a predicted model, not a curated record. Lineage: Eukaryota; Viridiplantae; Streptophyta; Magnoliopsida; Myrtales; Myrtaceae.
UGUUAUCUCCUUUAAGGGCUCUUCCUCUUUCACCCAUUCAUCUCCUUCAUUUUCAGCAAGGUGAAUGCACAGCCCUUGCUCUCCAAAUCCAUUAAGGAGCAUUGUAGAAGGAAGUCCCUGAAUGCAGUAAGUCUGAUUUGCAUAGAUGGGCGUCUCGGGCACACUCUCUACGUCCUCCGGUAUUAUCUCUUGCUUUCCAUAAAAUAUCUUCCCAUAUGGACUGAGUUGACGAACUUCUGCUUUUAACCAUUGGCCAAACCUUCCUGGUAGGUUAUCUGCUAACCCCGAUUUCUCAUAGGGUAUUUCUCUGCAAAAUGUGGCAUAAUGCCCAAUCUUUCCACACGAGUAACAGUAAUGUGGGAGUCGUUCGUAUUUGAAUUCAAUCCACAGCCUCUUUUUCUCCAAAUUUACUAGGACUCCUGUCUUCAGAGGCUUCUC